AUGGCCAUGGCCUCCCCGUUCUCCCAGGCGUCGGCCGCCGCCGCCUCGCCGGCCCUCCCCUUCUCCGUCUCCACCUCCCGCCCUCUCUCCCUCACCACCGCCGCAACCGCCGCCGUCUCAGCCCGGGCUCCGUGCAGGGGCAGCAGAGGAUUCCGCCGCGGCCGCUUCGCCGUCUGCAAUGUCGCUGCCCCCUCCGCCGCCGAGCUGGAGACCAAGCCGGCGGCGGCCGCGAAGGAGAGCCAGCGGCCGGUGUACCCGUUCCCGGCGAUCGUGGGGCAGGACGAGAUGAAGCUCUGCCUGCUGCUCAACGUCAUCGACCCCAAGAUCGGCGGCGUCAUGAUAAUGGGCGACCGGGGCACCGGCAAGUCCACCACCGUCCGCUCCCUCGUCGACCUGCUCCCGGACAUCAGCGUCGUGGUCGGCGACCCGUUCAACUCCGACCCCUUCGACCCCGAGGUCAUGGGCCCCGAGGUCCGCGACCGCCUCCUCAAGGGCGAGGACCUUCCCGUCACCACCACCAAGAUCACCAUGGUCGACCUGCCCCUCGGCGCCACCGAGGACAGGGUGUGCGGCACCAUCGACAUUGAGAAGGCGCUCACCGAAGGUGUCAAGGCGUUCGAGCCAGGCCUGCUCGCCAAGGCCAACAGGGGGAUACUGUAUGUGGACGAGGUCAAUCUGCUGGACGACCAUCUGGUGGAUGUUCUGCUGGAUUCCGCGGCUUCCGGGUGGAACACGGUGGAGAGGGAGGGCAUCUCCAUCUCCCACCCUGCGCGGUUCAUCCUCAUUGGGUCCGGUAACCCGGAGGAAGGCGAGCUCCGGCCGCAGCUGCUGGACCGGUUCGGGAUGCACGCGCAGGUCGGCACGGUCAGGGACGCGGAGCUGAGGGUGAAGAUUGUGGAGGAGAGGGCUCGGUUCGACAAGGACCCGAAAACGUUCCGGCAGUCCUACUUGGAGGAGCAAGGGAAGCUCCAGGACCAGAUCACAUCCGCUCGGAGCAACCUCGGUUCUGUGCAGCUCGACCAUGAUCUCCGGGUUAAGAUAUCCCAGGUGUGUUCUGAGCUGAAUGUGGAUGGGCUGAGAGGAGACAUUGUCACUAACAGGGCUGCCAAGGCGUUGGCUGCCCUAAAGGGAAGGGACAUCGUGACAGUGGAGGACAUUGCCACCGUGAUUCCCAACUGUUUGAGGCAUCGGCUCCGUAAAGACCCACUCGAAUCGAUCGACUCGGGCUUGCUUGUAGUUGAGAAGUUUUAUGAAGUCUUUGGCUAG
Molecule: ribosomal RNA, 1266 nt
Filed under: Triticum aestivum (bread wheat)
Lineage: Eukaryota; Viridiplantae; Streptophyta; Magnoliopsida; Poales; Poaceae
Description: partial small subunit ribosomal RNA
Source: RNAcentral